Molecule: non-coding RNA, 115 nt
Organism: Triticum aestivum (bread wheat)
Lineage: Eukaryota; Viridiplantae; Streptophyta; Magnoliopsida; Poales; Poaceae
Source: Rfam
AUAAUACUCCCUCCGUCCGGAAUUACUUGUCAUCAAAAUGGAUGUGUCUAGAACUAAAAUAUAUCUAGAUACAUCCAUUUCAAUGACAAGUAUUUUCGGACGGAGGGAGUAGUAG